UGGGGAAUAUUGGGCAAUGGGCGAAAGCCUGACCCAGCAACGCCGCGUGAAGGAAGAAGGUUUUCGGAUUGUAAACUUCUGUCCUCAGGGAAGAAGGAAGUGACGGUACCUGAGGAGGAAGCCCCGGCUAACUACGUGCCAGCAGCCGCGGUAAUACGUAGGGGGCGAGCGUUGUCCGGAAUGACUGGGCGUAAAGGGCGCGUAGACGGUUUUUUAAGUCUGGAGUGAAAGUCCUGCUUUCAAGGUGGGAAUUGCUUUGGAGACUGGGGGACUUGAGUGCGGAAGAGGUAAGUGGAAUUCCCAGUGUAGCGGUGAAAUGCGUAGAGAUUGGGAAGAACACCAGUGGCGAAGGCGACUUACUGGGCCGUAACUGACGUUGAUGCGCGAAAGCGUGGGGAGCGAACA
RNAcentral lists this ribosomal RNA (405 nucleotides) under uncultured bacterium. Its description in RNAcentral is "bacterial SSU rRNA". It matches the Rfam family "Bacterial small subunit ribosomal RNA", at positions 355 to 774 of the family's 1533-position model. The record is from RNAcentral.